This 234-nucleotide ribosomal RNA is filed under the name uncultured bacterium. RNAcentral describes it as "partial 16S ribosomal RNA". It matches the Rfam family "Bacterial small subunit ribosomal RNA", at positions 96 to 334 of the family's 1533-position model. The record is from RNAcentral.
CGGCGAACGGGUGAGUAACGCGUGGAUUAUCUGCCCUGAGGUGGGGGAUAACCCGGGGAAACUCGGGCUAAUACCGCAUAUGACCGUGAGGUCAAAGGGGGGUCGCAAGAUCUCUCGCCAUAGGAGGAGUCCGCGUCCGAUUAGCUAGUUGGUAGGGUAAUGGCCUACCAAGGCGACGAUCGGUAGCCGGCCUGAGAGGGUGAUCGGCCACACUGGAACUGAGACACGGUCCGG